CUCGGGGCGGCUGGGAGGCGUUGCGCCGCGAGGGAGGCCCGGCGAGGGGGGCGGCGGGAGGGCACCGCGCGUCGCGCCCGGGUCUUGGGGAUGAGGUGGUGCGGCCGUCCCUCGCGUCCCCGCGAGCACUGCGAGCUGCCCCUUCCUCUGGCCUCUAAAUACAAGGUUAGGACGAGGACCGUAGAAGUUCUUCAGGUGGAAGCACACGUCCUCGUGGCCAGACGGCAUGAGACACAUUGUGGCUGUUGUGACAUUCUGCCUCCUGACCGCACCGUGCCAGUGGCGCCGCGGACGCAGCAGGCACUGCGGUACCCGAAGAGACCGGAUAUCUUUGCAUACUUCUGUAAGAAAAAAAUAGUGAUGAACCUUCCUCUUCGUUCAAAAAUGCUUCCUCAAAACCUAUAUCCUCAGAAGUCCGGACUGAAAAAGAAUCAGACAUUCUUCAGCACUGCCAUACCAGGCUCAGAUCACAUAGUACAGAUUUGCCUCUGA
RNAcentral lists this long non-coding RNA (492 nucleotides) under Numida meleagris (helmeted guineafowl). Its description in RNAcentral is "lncRNA (ENSNMEG00000010633.1)". Lineage: Eukaryota; Metazoa; Chordata; Aves; Galliformes; Numididae. The record is from RNAcentral.